RNAcentral lists this long non-coding RNA (310 nucleotides) under Homo sapiens (human). RNAcentral's name for it is "HSALNT0362011". The record is from RNAcentral. Lineage: Eukaryota; Metazoa; Chordata; Mammalia; Primates; Hominidae.
AUGGUAUUUUUGUGAUAGUGAGUGAGUUCUCAGGUGAUCUGAUGGUUUUAUAAGUGUCUGGCAUUUCCCUCUUGCACUCUCACUCUGUUCUGCCACCCAGUGAGGAAGAUGCCUGCUUCUCCUCUGCCUUCUGCCAAGAUGGCAAGUUUCCUGAGGCCUCCCCAGCAAGAUGGAUCUGCACUUCAUCACCAAAGCAACAAGAUGUGGAGCAUGAGCAGUUCAACCUUUGAAGAUAACUCAGACUAAUUUGGCCAGCCUCUCCGUCUGAGGGUCUGAGAUCAUAAGAAGAAAAAAAAGGCUGUAUGAAGAC